This 342-nucleotide unclassified non-coding RNA is filed under the name Hevea brasiliensis (rubber tree). Lineage: Eukaryota; Viridiplantae; Streptophyta; Magnoliopsida; Malpighiales; Euphorbiaceae. The record is from RNAcentral.
UUUUUUUUUUUUUUUUAAUCUUCUCAAGAAAAGUUUAUCUUUUCAACAAGGCUUUGCUUAUCUGGGAUACUCUGUUAUGCUUGGCUGUUGUUUUCUUUAGUGUGUUGUAUUUGUUGAUUUGAAAAUUUGUUCUCCAUCCUAGUUUACAAUGUGCUAAAAGGGAUAGAUUCCCUUUUACUAGGAAAAAGAGUGAGUAUGAUUGUUGUAAUGUGGGUAUCUUUCCUUUCUAUUGUAUUAAAAAAUAAGUGUGGCUAUGUAUUUGUCAUUAUUUUGAAGCGUAUUUUGGACUGCUGUGGAAAAUGCUGAUUUUUUGCAUGAAGGUGCCUAUCUGUGAAAUUGAAU